Molecule: ribosomal RNA, 468 nt
Filed under: uncultured bacterium
Lineage: Bacteria
Description: partial 16S ribosomal RNA
Rfam family: Bacterial small subunit ribosomal RNA
Source: RNAcentral
GACGAACGCUGGCGGCGUGCUUAACACAUGCAAGUCGAACGGUAAGGCCUUGCUUUGGUCGCGUGUUCGAAACGCGAACGGGAGAGUAGCAUGUUAGUACCUUGCCUUUGAGUUAGGGAUAACUUCAUGAGACUAGGGCUGGUAACGGCUAGGCGCUCCUGCUGCAUGGUGGGGGAUGGUUAGUUUCGGCGGUUGGGGAUGGGCUCGCGGCUUAUCAGCUUGUUGGUGGGGUAUUGGCUUACCAAGGCUUUGACGGGUAGCCGGCCUGAGAGGGUGACCGGCCACACUGGGACUGAGACACGGCCCAGACUCCUACGGGAGGCAGCAGUGGGGAAUAUUGCACAAUGGGCGGAAGCCUGAUGCAGCAACGCCGCGUGCGGGAUGACGGCCUUCGGGUUGUAAACCUCUUUCGGCAGGGACGAAGCGUGAGUGACGGUAACUGCAGAAGAAGCACCGGCUAACUACGUG